UUUUAUCAGGCCACGAAUCAAAACAAACACUCGUUUGGAAGGAAGAUACAAACCGUACUUAAAAGCAGCUCAAAACAAAAAGAACUUUAUAGACUCAGAUUGUGUCGGACGGUACUUGCAAAAAAUAGCGUGCAUUGGAAAUGUGGACCCGUAUGAAAAAACGGCAGUGGAGCAGAAACCCCGAAGCCUGAUAUAUUUCCGUACCUGUGGAGUUAGCGCAUACACAGCGAACCAGUUUCGCAAUUACAAAUGUCUGGAGGCGCACAUCCGAUUAACCAAUGGUUGGUUACAAGAUUUGGCUAUUUUUAGACUCCACGUUGUGAAUACGUCGUCAUUCAAACAAAGGGGUUGGAACUAGCUAUUAAAAUGGUCAUCACCAGACCAAGGCUCAAUUGAGUCAUGGAAGGAGAAAUCAGAUGACUUUCACAGUGCCUCAUUCUACCCUCAUAUUAUUAUGUGAGGCAUUUAACAGAAAUAAACUGCACAACGACGUGGCUGGUGACCCACUUCACCUCUCCUUGCUAAACACUGGAGAAUCAUGCAAAGACUUUGAUGUAACAGAUUGACCUCUAACAGCAACCAUGGGCAUCAGUGAUGAGAAAACCUGUGUUGAGACAGCACUGGCUGGACCCCACAGAGUGUGUGCAUGUUUGCAGUGAGGAUGAACUCUUCCACCUUGAAAGCACAGAUGACAUGGCAAAUAAGAUUGAGACAGCAACAGGAGAACAGGCAGCCGACCAGGAUUAGCAUCAGCUCCACAGGCCAAGAUUACAUCUUCAUGUUUAAGAGGUUUGUUAUAUGAGGGGUGAAACUGUGAAGAGAGAAUCCUCAAAGGAACGAGACAGACUGCAGACGUGAGCACAGGGACAGACAUGGAGUUUAACGCAGCUGGAGAAAACCGCAAAUUGAAAAACUUUAACUAUAGACCUCAUGGCCUCGUUGUCCACCCUGACGCUCCCUGGCUUGGUUCCUCACCAGAUGGGUUGAUCUUUGAUCCAUCUGCACAGCCACCGUUUGGACUGCUUGAGAUAAAGUGUCUUUAUGUGAGGAAUUAUGUUCACUUCAGAUACCUUCAACUAGAGAUGGACCGAUCCGAUAUUACGUAUCGGUAUCGGUCCGAUACUGACGUAAAUUGCUGGAUCGGAUAUCGGUGAGAAAUAAAAAAUGUAAUCCGAUCCAUUAAAUAUCAAAAAAGCACCUCACAAAACUUGCGACACCGCGUAACUCGGCUCAUAACCGUAGCACGUCGGAGCAGUGUGCUCACAUUGAGCGGCUGUGUGUAUUUGUAGCCUCGCUAGCAAACCAGCAUUUCAUCUCCGAGGAAGUGAUCCCAGAGAGAAGUAAAGCAAGUGUGUAAGUUCAUCUCUGAAUGUUUGUAAAGCGUACCUACGUUAAGCUUAACAACCGAUAUAUGGAGCAACUGCCUCUUCUCUCUCCCUCCCUCUCCUGCCGCUACUUCAUGAAACUGCUUAAUGAUCAGCUGAUCGGCUUUUCUGUCGCGAGUCCGUCUCUCUUCUUUGUUUUUGGCUUUGCACCAGAAAGAGGAAACCAGCGGCUGAACAACAGCAGCACGUUUAACCUUGAUAAGCUGUCGUUAGAAUUUAUUUAAUAUUACUUUCUAGACCAGGAUCCUUUUCUACGUAGCUGACGGCUGGUAACUGCGCAGGGGCGGAUCUAGCAAAGUUUAGCCAGG
Long non-coding RNA from Oreochromis aureus, 1693 nucleotides. The record is from Ensembl. NCBI's taxonomy places the organism in Eukaryota, Metazoa, Chordata, Actinopteri, Cichliformes, Cichlidae.